RNAcentral lists this ribosomal RNA (887 nucleotides) under Conotrachelus sp. KM-2017. RNAcentral describes it as "partial 16S ribosomal RNA". The stretch from base 643 to 801 matches the Rfam family "Bacterial large subunit ribosomal RNA", at positions 2473 to 2632 of the family's 2925-position model. The record is from RNAcentral. Lineage: Eukaryota; Metazoa; Arthropoda; Insecta; Coleoptera; Curculionidae.
AAAUUUAUAAAAUUUAUUUUUUUUGUGAUAAUAAAUAGAAUUAAAAGUUUUUAUUUUUUAAAGUGAUUUAUAACUAAUUAUUAAAUAUUUAUGAUUUUUAUAGUAAAUUUAUAUAUUUUAUUAAAAUUUAAGUUUAAAUUUAUGAAAUUUAGUAAUAAUGAUAAAAUUAGUAUAAUUUUAUGUUUAAUAAAAAUAAUAUUUUUAGGUUAAAUAAAGUAACUCGGCAAAUAUAUUUUUCACCUGUUUAUUAAAAACAUGUCUUUUUGAUUAUAAUUUAAAGUCUAACCUGCCCAAUGAUUUAUUAAAUGGCCGCGGUAUUUUGACUGUGCAAAGGUAGCAUAAUCAUUAGUUUUUUAAUUGAAAGCUGGAAUGAAGGGUUGGAUGAGAAAAUAGCUGUCUCUAUUUAAAUUUAUUAGAAUUUUAUUUUUAAGUUAAAAAGCUUAAAUAUUUAUGAAAGACGAGAAGACCCUAUAGAGUUUUAUAUUUUUGUAGAAAUUAAAUUUUUAGGAUAUAAGUAUUUUAUUUUUAUAAAAGUAUUUAAUUGGGGUGAUUGAAAAAUUGAAAAAACUUUUUUUUUAUUUAUACAUUGAUUUAUGAUUUUUUGAUCCUUUUAUUAAGAUUAUAAGAUUAAAUUACCUUAGGGAUAACAGCGUAAUUUUUUUUUAGAGUUCUAAUCGAAAAAAAAGAUUGCGACCUCGAUGUUGGAUUAAAAUUAAAUUUUGGUGUAGAAGCUAAAAGAUUAGGUCUGUUCGACCUUUAAAAUUUUACAUGAUCUGAGUUUAAAUCGGCGUGAGCCAGGUUGGUUUCUAUCUUUAUAUAAAUAAUAUAUUUUAGUACGAAAGGACCAAGUAUUUGAUUUAAUAGAAUUUAUUUUAUAGAAUAAUAUU